UACGAAAGGUGCAAGCGUUACUCGGAAUCACUGGGCGUAAAGCGCACGUAGGCGGACUCGUAGGUCAGUUGUGAAAUACCUGGGCUCAACCCGGGAACUGCAGCUGAAACCGCUUGUCUUGAAUACCUGAGAGGGUGGGGGAAUACCUGGUGGAGAAGUGAAAUUCGCAGAGAUCAGGUGGAACACCGGAGGCGAAGGCGCCUGCCUGGCAGUGUAUUGACGCUGAGGUGCGAAAGUGCGGGGAGCAAACAGG
Molecule: ribosomal RNA, 253 nt
Filed under: uncultured bacterium
Lineage: Bacteria
Description: partial 16S ribosomal RNA
Rfam family: Bacterial small subunit ribosomal RNA
Source: RNAcentral